UGGGGAAUAUUGGACAAUGGGCGCAAGCCUGAUCCAGCCAUGCCGCGUGUGUGAAGAAGGCCUUUUGGUUGUAAAGCACUUUAAGCGAGGAGGAGGCUACUUGGAUUAAUACUCUAGGAUAGUGGACGUUACUCGCAGAAUAAGCACCGGCUAACUCUGUGCCAGCAGCCGCGGUAAUACAGAGGGUGCGAGCGUUAAUCGGAUUUACUGGGCGUAAAGCGUGCGUAGGCGGCUUCUUAAGUCGGAUGUGAAAUCCCUGAGCUUAACUUAGGAAUUGCAUUCGAUACUGGGAAGCUAGAGUAUGGGAGAGGAUGGUAGAAUUCCAGGUGUAGCGGUGAAAUGCGUAGAGAUCUGGAGGAAUACCGAUGGCGAAGGCAGCCAUCUGGCCUAAUACUGACGCUGAGGUACGAAAGCAUGGGGAGCAAGCAGG
RNAcentral lists this ribosomal RNA (430 nucleotides) under bacterium. Its description in RNAcentral is "partial 16S ribosomal RNA". It matches the Rfam family "Bacterial small subunit ribosomal RNA", at positions 355 to 776 of the family's 1533-position model. The record is from RNAcentral.